AAUUAUAUAUAUCCUGCUCAGAUUGAACGCUGGCGGCAGGCCUAACACGAUGCAAGUCGAGCGGUAACAUUUCUAGCUUGCUAGAAGAUGACGAGCGGCGGACGGGUGAGUAAUGCUUGGGAACAUGCCUUUAGGUGGGGGACAACCAUUGGAAACGAUGGCUAAUACCGCAUAAUGUCUACGGACCAAAGGGGGCUUCGGCUCUCGCCUUUAGAUUGGCCCAAGUGGGAUUAGCUAGUUGGUGAGGUAAUGGCUCACCAAGGCGACGAUCCCUAGCUGGUUUGAGAGGAUGAUCAGCCACACUGGAACUGAGACACGGUCCAGACUCCUACGGGAGCGCAGCAGUGGGGAAUAUUGCACAAUGGGUCGCAAGCCUGAUGCAGCCAUGCCGCGUGUGUGAAGAAGGCCUUCGGGUUGUAAAGCACUUUCAGUAAGGAGGAAAGGUUAGUAGUUAAUACCUGCUAGCUGUGACGUUACUUACAGAAGAAGCACCGGCUAACUCCGUGCCAGCAGCCGCGGUAAUCACGGAGUGGUGCGAGCGUUAAUCGGAAUUACUGGGCGUAAAGCGUACGCAGGCGGUUUGUUAAGCGAGAUGUGAAAGCCCCGGGCUCAACCUGGGAACUGCAUUUCGAACUGGCAAACUAGAGUGUGAUAGAGGGUGGUAGAAUUUCAGGUGUAGCGGUGAAAUGCGUAGAGAUCUGAAGGAAUACCGAUGGCGAAGGCAGCCACCUGGGUCAACACUGACGCUCAUGUACGAAAGCGUGGGGAGCAAACGGGAUUAGAUACCCCGGUAGUCCACGCCGUAAACGAUGUCUACUAGGAGUUCGGGUCUUUCGGAACUGUCUUCCAAAGCUAACGCAUUAAGUAGACCGCCUGGAGACCCGACUUGGUGG
RNAcentral lists this ribosomal RNA (893 nucleotides) under Pseudoalteromonas sp. RNAcentral's name for it is "bacterial SSU rRNA". It matches the Rfam family "Bacterial small subunit ribosomal RNA". Lineage: Bacteria; Pseudomonadati; Pseudomonadota; Gammaproteobacteria; Alteromonadales; Pseudoalteromonadaceae. The record is from RNAcentral.